Molecule: ribosomal RNA, 394 nt
Filed under: uncultured cryptomonad VICYA-2
Lineage: Eukaryota; Cryptophyceae
Description: bacterial SSU rRNA
Rfam family: Bacterial small subunit ribosomal RNA
Source: RNAcentral
GCCUGACGGAGCAAUACCGCGUGAGGGAUGAAAGCCUGUGGGUUGUAAACCUCUUUUCUCAAGGAAGAAGUUCUGACGGUACUUGAGGAAUAAGCAUCGGCUAACUCUGUGCCAGCAGCCGCGGUAAUACAGAGGAUGCAAGCGUUAUCCGGAAUCACUGGGCAUAAAGCGUCUGUAGGUUGCCUACCAAGUCUGCUGUUAAAGAUCAGGGCCUAACCCUGGGAAAGCAGUGGAAACUAGUAGGCUUGAGUGUGGUAGAGGUAGAGGGAAUUCCUGGUGUAGCGGUGAAAUGCGUAGAUAUUAGGAAGAACACCAAUGGCGAAAGCACUCUACUGGGCCAUAACUGACACUGAGAGACGACAGCUAGGGGAGCAAAUGGGAUUAGAUACCCCAG